This 891-nucleotide ribosomal RNA is filed under the name Salmonella enterica subsp. enterica serovar Poona. RNAcentral's name for it is "partial 23S ribosomal RNA". It matches the Rfam family "Bacterial large subunit ribosomal RNA", at positions 655 to 1547 of the family's 2925-position model. Lineage: Bacteria; Pseudomonadati; Pseudomonadota; Gammaproteobacteria; Enterobacterales; Enterobacteriaceae. The record is from RNAcentral.
GUAUAGGGGAGCCGCAGGGAAACCGAGUCUUAACCGGGCGUUAAGUUGCAGGGUAUAGACCCGAAACCCGGUGAUCUAGCCAUGGGCAGGUUGAAGGUUGGGUAACACUAACUGGAGGACCGAACCGACUAAUGUUGAAAAAUUAGCGGAUGACCUGUGGCUGGGGGUGAAAGGCCAAUCAAACCGGGAGAUAGCUGGUUCUCCCCGAAAGCUAUUUAGGUAGCGCCUCGUGAAUUCAUCUCCGGGGGUAGAGCACUGUUUCGGCUAGGGGGCCAUCCCGGCUUACCAACCCGAUGCAAACUGCGAAUACCGGAGAAUGUUAUCACGGGAGACACACGGCGGGUGCUAACGUCCGUCGUGAAGAGGGAAACAACCCAGACCGCCAGCUAAGGUCCCAAAGUCAUGGUUAAGUGGGAAACGAUGUGGGAAGGCCCAGACAGCCAGGAUGUUGGCUUAGAAGCAGCCAUCAUUUAAAGAAAGCGUAAUAGCUCACUGGUCGAGUCGGCCUGCGCGGAAGAUGUAACGGGGCUAAACCAUGCACCGAAGCUGCGGCAGCGACACUAUGUGUUGUUGGGUAGGGGAGCGUUCUGUAAGCCUGUGAAGGUGGCCUGUGAGGGUUGCUGGAGGUAUCAGAAGUGCGAAUGCUGACAUAAGUAACGAUAAAGCGGGUGAAAAGCCCGCUCGCCGGAAGACCAAGGGUUCCUGUCCAACGUUAAUCGGGGCAGGGUGAGUCGACCCCUAAGGCGAGGCCGAAAGGCGUAGUCGAUGGGAAACGGGUUAAUAUUCCCGUACUUGGUGUUACUGCGAAGGGGGGACGGAGAAGGCUAUGUUGGCCGGGCGACGGUUGUCCCGGUUUAAGCGUGUAGGUGUGUGUUCCAGGUAAAUCCGGUU